Molecule: unclassified non-coding RNA, 26 nt
Filed under: Mus musculus (house mouse)
Lineage: Eukaryota; Metazoa; Chordata; Mammalia; Rodentia; Muridae
Description: oocyte_clustered_small_RNA5570
Source: RNAcentral
CGAGUGACUAUCUACCAGUCCAAGAC